CGAGAUGUAGCGCAGUUUGGUAGCGCGCUUGCUUCGGGAGCAAGAGGUCGCAAGUUCAAAUCUUGUCAUCUCGACCA
RNAcentral lists this transfer RNA (77 nucleotides) under Clostridiales bacterium. RNAcentral describes it as "tRNA-Pro". It matches the Rfam family "tRNA". From Rfam's summary of the family: Transfer RNA (tRNA) molecules are approximately 80 nucleotides in length. Their secondary structure includes four short double-helical elements and three loops (D, anti-codon, and T loops). RNAcentral also lists the same sequence under 1 other name. The record is from RNAcentral. Lineage: Bacteria; Bacillati; Bacillota; Clostridia; Eubacteriales.